CAGUAGCCACGGUAAUACGAAGGGUGCAAGCGUUAAUCGGAAUUACUGGGCGUAAAGCGCACGCAGGCGGUUUGUUAAGUCAGAUGUGAAAUCCCCGAGCUUAACUUGGGAACUGCAUUUGAAACUGGCAAGCUAGAGUCUUGUAGAGGGGGGUAGAAUUCCAGGUGUAGCGGUGAAAUGCGUAGAGAUCUGGAGGAAUACCGGUGGCGAAGGCGGCCCCCUGGACAAAGGCUGACGCUCAGGUGCGAAAGCGUGGGGAGCAAACAGGAUUAGAUACCCGGGUAGUCCCUGUCUCUUAUAA
RNAcentral lists this ribosomal RNA (301 nucleotides) under uncultured bacterium. Its description in RNAcentral is "partial 16S ribosomal RNA". It matches the Rfam family "Bacterial small subunit ribosomal RNA", at positions 509 to 809 of the family's 1533-position model. The record is from RNAcentral.